AUAAAGAACCAAUAUUUUUGGUGACUCAUAAUAACUUUACGGAUCACAUUAUGUGACAUAUCAUUCAAGUUUCUGACCUAUCAGCUUUAGACGGUAGGGUAUUGGCCUACCGUGGCUAUGACGGGUAACGGGGAAUUAGGGUUCGAUUCCGGAGAGGGAGCCUGAGAAACGGCUACCACAUCUAAGGAGGGCAGCUGGCGCGCAAAUUACCCAAUCCUAAUACAGGGAGGUAGUGACAAGAAAUAACAAUACAGAACCUUACGGUUUUGUAAUUGGAAUGAGUUAAGUAUAAACCCCUUAACAAGUAUCAAUUGGAGGGCAAGUCUGGUGCCAGCAGCCGCGGUAAUUCCAGCUCCAAUAGCGUAUAUUAAAGUUGUUGCAGUUAAAAAGCUCGUAGUUAAUCUUCUGUUAAUUUUUAUAUAUAAUAUUUCGAUAUUUAUAUAAUAUUAACAUAAUUCAUAUUACUUUUUAGUAUAUGAAACUUUACUUUGAGAAAAUUAGAGUGCUUAAAGCAGGCUAUUGCCUUGAAUACUCCAGCAUGGAAUAAUAUUAAGGAUUUUUAUUCUUCAUAUUGGUUCUAGAAUAAAAAUGAUGAUUAAUAGGAACAGUUGGGGGCAUUUGUAUUUAACAGUCAGAGGUGAAAUUCUUAGAUUUGUUAAAGACAAACUACUGCGAAAGCAUUUGCCAAGGAUGUUUUCAUUAAUCAAGAACGAAAGUUAGGGGAUCGAAGACGAUCAGAUACCGUCGUAGUCUUAACCAUAAACUAUGCCAACUAGAGAUUGGAGGU
Molecule: ribosomal RNA, 787 nt
Filed under: Cryptosporidium xiaoi
Lineage: Eukaryota; Apicomplexa; Conoidasida; Eucoccidiorida; Cryptosporidiidae
Description: SSU rRNA
Rfam family: Eukaryotic small subunit ribosomal RNA
Source: RNAcentral